This 460-nucleotide ribosomal RNA is filed under the name uncultured bacterium. Its description in RNAcentral is "partial 16S ribosomal RNA". It matches the Rfam family "Bacterial small subunit ribosomal RNA", at positions 338 to 795 of the family's 1533-position model. The record is from RNAcentral.
CCUACGGGUGGCAGCAGUGAGGAAUAUUGGUCAAUGGACGAGAGUCUGAACCAGCCAAGUAGCGUGAAGGAUGACUGCCCUAUGGGUUGUAAACUUCUUUUAUAUGGGAAUAAAAUGUUUCACGUGUGGGUUUUUGUAUGUACCAUAUGAAUAAGGAUCGGCUAACUCCGUGCCAGCAGCCGCGGUAAUACGGAGGAUCCGAGCGUUAUCCGGAUUUAUUGGGUUUAAAGGGAGGGGAGGUGGAUUGUUAAGUCAAUGGGGAAAGUUUGGGGCUAAACCGUAAAAUUGCAGUUGAAACUGGCAGUCUUGAGUACAGUAGAGGUAGGCGGAAUUCGUGGUGUAGCGGUGAAAUGCUUAGAUAUCACGAAGAACUCCGAUUGCGAAGGCAGCUCACUGGACUGCAACUGACACUGAGGCUCGAAAGUGUGGGUAUCGAACAGGAUUAGAUACCCUUGUAGUC